RNAcentral lists this ribosomal RNA (253 nucleotides) under uncultured bacterium. Its description in RNAcentral is "partial 16S ribosomal RNA". It matches the Rfam family "Bacterial small subunit ribosomal RNA", at positions 524 to 776 of the family's 1533-position model. The record is from RNAcentral.
UACGGAGGGUGCAAGCGUUGUUCGGAAUUACUGGGCGUAAAGCGCGUGUAGGCGGCUUGGCAAGUCGGGUGUGAAAUCCCGGGGCUCAACCCCGGAACUGCAUUCGAAACUGCCUGGCUGGAGUCCCGGAGAGGGUGGUGGAAGUCCCAGUGUAGAGGUGAAAUUCGUAGAUAUUGGGAGGAACACCAGUGGCGAAGGCGGCCACCUGGACAGUGACUGACGCUGAGACGCGAAAGCGUGGGGAGCAAACAGG